RNAcentral lists this long non-coding RNA (204 nucleotides) under Nicotiana benthamiana. RNAcentral's name for it is "long non-coding RNA (NBEN_LNC031196)". The record is from RNAcentral. Lineage: Eukaryota; Viridiplantae; Streptophyta; Magnoliopsida; Solanales; Solanaceae.
GUGAUGUGAGGUCUAGAGGACUUUCAGAUUAGAUUCCCCAUCAUACGUUCAGUUCUAGGAGAAGAGAAGAGAGGUGGAGGACUGCUGGACUAAAGAGAGGGACUGGGACUAUGGCUAGAAGGAAUAAGAGAUCUUGGAGUAUGGCAAGCGGUUGGAUCAAGAGUAGGGCAAAGAGUUGGAGAUCCUGGAGAGAUAAGAUUUGGU